RNAcentral lists this ribosomal RNA (253 nucleotides) under uncultured bacterium. RNAcentral's name for it is "partial 16S ribosomal RNA". It matches the Rfam family "Bacterial small subunit ribosomal RNA", at positions 524 to 776 of the family's 1533-position model. The record is from RNAcentral.
UACGGAGGGGGCAAGCGUUAUUCGGAAUUAUUGGGCGUAAAGGGCGCGUAGGCGGCUUGACAAGUCAGGGGUGAAAUCCCUCGGCUCAACCGGGGAACUGCCUCUGAAACUGUCAAGCUUGAGUCCGGGAGAGGGUAGUGGAAUUCCCAGUGUAGCGGUGAUAUGCGUAGAUAUUGGGAGGAACACCAGUGGCGAAAGCGGCUACCUGGACCGGUACUGACGCUGAGGCGAGAAAGCGUGGGGAGCAAACAGG